AAAGGGAAGCCAAGCAAGGACUUUCGCCAGGCAAAUCCGCAAGGACGUCCAGAGCCGCCGGCCUUCCUUUGUUUGGCCCCCCCCCUUUUUAGGUUUCGGCCCGAGGACCGGGGCGCUUUAUCCCAUGAGGGCAAGAGGGGGUUCCCCAGAUAAGCGGGCAGGGGUUAACCUGGGUUACCUCCCUUAAAAUGGGAAAUCUCGGAACCGGGGUUAACCGGAGGUGUUUGACCCCAUGUUCAACUAAAAGGGGGUUGGGUCCCAUCCAAGUGGCCCCGGGCCUUACUAUUUGGGAGUACGGUCCCCAAGGCAAGUGGUUACCGACUGGGAGGGUUUGGCCCACUGGGAUUGGACACGGCCCGGAUUCUUCGGGAGCAGCAGUAGGGAUUUUCCGCAAUGACGAAAUUUGACGGGCAACGCCGGUGAGGGAUGAAGGUUUCGGAUCGUAAAGCUCUGUUGUUAGGGAAGAACAAGUCCCGUUCGAAUAGGGCGGUACCUUGACGGUACCUAACCAGAAAGCCACGGCUAAUUACGUGCCAGCAGCCGCGGUAAUACGUAGGUGGCAAGCGUUGUCCGGAAUUAUUGGGCGUAAAGGGCUCGCAGGCGGUUUCUUAAGUCUGAUGUGAAAGCCCCCGGCUCAACCGGGGAGGGUCAUUGGAAACUGGGGAACUUGAGUGCAGAAGAGGAGAGUGGAAUUCCACGUGUAGCGGUGAAAUGCGUAGAGAUGUGGAGGAACACCAGUGGCGAAGGCGACUCUCUGGUCUGUAACUGACGCUGAGGAGCGAAAGCGUGGGGAGCGAACAGGAUUAGAUACCCUGGUAGUCCACGCCGUAAACGAUGAGUGCUAAGUGUUAGGGGGUUUCCGCCCCUUAGUGCUGCAGCUAACGCAUUAAGCACUCCGCCUGGGGAGUACGGUCGCAAGACUGAAACUCAAAGGAAUUGACGGGGGCCCGCACAAGCGGUGGAGCAUGUGGUUUAAUUCGAAGCAACGCGAAGAACCUUACCAGGUCUUGACAUCCUCUGACAAUCCUAGAGAUAGGACGUCCCCUUCGGGGGCAGAGUGACAGGUGGUGCAUGGUUGUCGUCAGCUCGUGUCGUGAGAUGUUGGGUUAAGUCCCGCAACGAGCGCAACCCUUGAUCUUAGUUGCCAGCAUUCAGUUGGGCACUCUAAGGUGACUGCCGGUGACAAACCGGAGGAAGGUGGGGAUGACGUCAAAUCAUCAUGCCCCUUAUGACCUGGGCUACACACGUGCUACAAUGGACAGAACAAAGGGCAGCGAAACCGCGAGGUUAAGCCAAUCCCACAAAUCUGUUCUCAGUUCGGAUCGCAGUCUGCAACUCGACUGCGUGAAGCUGGAAUCGCUAGUAAUCGCGGAUCAGCAUGCCGCGGUGAAUACGUUCCCGGGCCUUGUACACACCGCCCGUCACACCACGAGAGUUUGUAACACCCGAAGUCGGUGAGGUAACCUUUUAGGAGCCAGCCGCCGAAGGUGGGACAGAUGAUUGGGGGAAGUCGUAACCAAGUUUGGUCCUUGA
This 1533-nucleotide ribosomal RNA is filed under the name Streptomyces sp. SHBH13. Its description in RNAcentral is "partial 16S ribosomal RNA". It matches the Rfam family "Bacterial small subunit ribosomal RNA". The record is from RNAcentral.